Molecule: non-coding RNA, 752 nt
Organism: Nylanderia fulva
Lineage: Eukaryota; Metazoa; Arthropoda; Insecta; Hymenoptera; Formicidae
Source: RefSeq, a predicted model, not a curated record
AAGAUACAUGUUUCUGCGCGGGAGAGAAGCUGAGACUACCGAGCACGACGAGUCGUCGAUAGCUUAGCAAGAAGCUGUCCGUCUAUUAUACCACUGACGAGGUAUUGUUACGUCAGUGCUGGUAUCAUAGUAAAGAAAAACAGUGCCGUAUCUAUUGUAUUUUUACGGGAUCAAAUCUGUCUGUAAUAUUAAUAGCGUUUGCUUAUCCAUCUCUGCUGCACUGAACUUCUAACGCUACGGACAGGGUACAGAUUUUCGUCUUACAGAUUCAGAAAGCAAGCGAUAUAAUAACAACAAGGAAUGGUUCAAACUAUAUAUAUAAUUAUAUAAAAAAAGUUUUAUCACAGAUUAGGCUCCAACGAGCAAUCAGCAAUUUAAUAUAAUUUUAUUAAAAUUGAAAUAAUUAAUUUUACAGUUUUAUAUGUCGAUGUUAACGUUUCUUUAUAAAAAAUUUAGUUUAAAAACUCAUAUAGAAAAUUUAUAUUACUUUACAUAUAAUUGAAUCAAAUCAAUGAUUGCAAUACUGUGAAAAAUACGUAGAAGUGCAAACUGGAUUUGCGUAAAAUUACACAGUUUCCAUCUUAAUAAACAUAUUAUGUUGUGUAAAUCGCAGUUAAAGAAUGAUGCAUAAAAUAUUUUUCCUGAUGUCCGUACUUGAAUAAUUAUUUUCUGAGAUAGAUUUUUUGAUUACAUCAUACAUUUACAUCAAUAUAAAUAUAUAAUGUAGGUGAAAAUCUCUUCAUUAUUUACUC